This 253-nucleotide ribosomal RNA is filed under the name uncultured bacterium. RNAcentral's name for it is "partial 16S ribosomal RNA". It matches the Rfam family "Bacterial small subunit ribosomal RNA", at positions 524 to 776 of the family's 1533-position model. The record is from RNAcentral.
GACGAACCGUCCAAACGUUAUUCGGAAUCACUGGGCUUACAGAGUUCGUAGGCGGUCUGGAAAGUUGGGUGUGAAAUCCCUCGGCUCAACCGAGGAACUGCGCUCAAAACUACCCGACUCGAGGGAGAUAGAGGAAAGCGGAACUGAUGGUGGAGCGGUGAAAUGCGUUGAUAUAAUCAGGAACACCGGUGGCGAAGGCAGCUCGCUGGGACGGUACUGACGCUGAGACGCGAAAGCGUGGGGAGCAAACAGG